GCUCUAUUAAGUUAGUUUGCAAUUUUGCUCCAUGUGGAUUUUUUUGAAAUGGUACAGUUGACAGUAAUACUAGGAACACAAUUGGUGCGAACGACGAAUUUCGCCCUACGCGGCGACAAAAUGAGCCGCGAAAAUUCGUCGUAUGGAACACAAUACCGACGAAAUUAUAAAACAGCUGAUAAAGUUGUUUACUUUUUGCUGAUUUGUUGACUACAAUGAAUCAGAGAAUUGUAAAGUUAAUUAAAAUUGUUAAAAUAAUAAACAUAAUGCAUAUUAUAGUAAAAGCUUAUCUGCUUGUGCGAAAACGUUUACGGAGAAGAUGGUGGAUACGGCCAGUGAACAUUAAAAGAAACACCGAAGGAUUCCAGAGAAUGGCUUUUACGGAGCUAAAAUUAAGAGAUGAAGAGCACUUCUUUAAAGCUACAAGGAUGACCGUGGAGAAGUUUAAUGCUCUUCUAGAUUUGCUUAAACCACGAUUGCAAAGAUUUUCAAAAAGAAAGCCAAUUGACGAGGAAACACGUUUGGGCUUAACUCUAAUAUACCUAGCUCAUGGUUGCAGUACACAGUUUUUGGCAUGGACAUACAAAAUGGGUGUUUCGACUGUGAGAAAGAUAAUUUAUGAAACUUGCGAUGCGAUCUGGAGCGAGCUCCAUGAGGUAUAUGUUUCCCAACCUAAUCACCAUAAGUGGAAAAGUAUUGCUGAAAGGUUUGGAAACUUAAAUGUAUAGUGUUAAAUAAAAUAAUAAUAUAUGAUAUAUUUAUUUGAAAAGAUUUUACACGAAAACAGGCAUGCCGCAUUGUGUUGGGGCUAUUGAUGGCAAGCAUGUCAACAUCUUUUGUCCAAAAAAUAGUGGUUCACUUUUUUAUAAUUAUAAAAAAAGUUUCAGCAUUGUGCUAAUGGCGGUAUGUGACGCGGAUUAUAAUUUUAUGUUUGUUGAUGUUGGAGCUUUUGGCAGCCAAAGUGAUGGUGGAGUCUUUGCAAGAAGUUCGUUUGGAAAAAUGAUUUUGAGAAAUCAAAUUAAUCUUCCCCCUGGUGAUAAACUACCUGGCACUGAUAAAACGUUUCCGUAUUUCUUUGUGGGAGACAAUGCUUUCCCUUUGAAGAGAAAUUUAAUGAGGCCAUAUCCUGGACGAAGCUUGUCUGCCGCUAAACAAAAUUUUAACAAAAAGUUAUCUGCCGCUCGUGUAUACAUUGAAAAAUCUUUUGGCAUUUUAAAA
Long non-coding RNA from Musca domestica (house fly), 1218 nucleotides. RefSeq lists it as uncharacterized. Lineage: Eukaryota; Metazoa; Arthropoda; Insecta; Diptera; Muscidae. The record is from RefSeq and is a predicted model, not a curated record. The transcript has 3 exons.